UACGUAGGGUGCAAGCGUUGUCCGGAAUUAUUGGGCGUAAAGAGCUCGUAGGCGGUUUGUUGCGUCGGCUGUGAAAUCCCGAGGCUCAACCUCGGGUCUGCAGUCGAUACGAGCAAACUAGAGUGUUUGCAGGGGAGACUGGAAUUCCUGGUGUAGCGGUGAAAUGCGCAGAUAUCAGGAGGAACACCGGGUGGGCGAAGGCGGGUCUCUGGGCAACAACUGACGCUGGAGGAGCGAAAGCCGUGGGGAGCG
RNAcentral lists this ribosomal RNA (252 nucleotides) under uncultured bacterium. Its description in RNAcentral is "partial 16S ribosomal RNA". It matches the Rfam family "Bacterial small subunit ribosomal RNA", at positions 524 to 770 of the family's 1533-position model. The record is from RNAcentral.